This 72-nucleotide transfer RNA is filed under the name Ictidomys tridecemlineatus (thirteen-lined ground squirrel). RNAcentral describes it as "Spermophilus tridecemlineatus (thirteen-lined ground squirrel) tRNA". It matches the Rfam family "tRNA". Rfam says of the family: Transfer RNA (tRNA) molecules are approximately 80 nucleotides in length. Lineage: Eukaryota; Metazoa; Chordata; Mammalia; Rodentia; Sciuridae. The record is from Rfam by way of RNAcentral.
UGGGUUGUAGCUCAGUGGUAGAGCACUUGCCUCGCAUACUUGAGGCCCUGGGUUUGAUCCUCAGCACCACUU